RNAcentral lists this ribosomal RNA (433 nucleotides) under uncultured bacterium. RNAcentral's name for it is "partial 16S ribosomal RNA". It matches the Rfam family "Bacterial small subunit ribosomal RNA", at positions 29 to 507 of the family's 1533-position model. The record is from RNAcentral.
AACGAACGCUGGCGGCAGGCCUAACACAUGCAAGUCGAGCGGACCUUUCGGGGUCAGCGGCGGACGGGUGAGUAACGCGUGGGAAUAUGCCCUUCUCUACGGAAUAGUCCUGGGAAACUGGGGGUAAUACCGUAUACGCCCUUUGGGGGAAAGAUUUAUCGGGGAAGGAUUAGCCCGCGUUGGAUUAGGUAGUUGGUGGGGUAAUGGCCUACCAAGCCGACGAUCCAUAGCUGGUUUGAGAGGGUGAUCAGCCACACUGGGACUGAGACACGGCCCAGACUCCUACGGGAGGCAGCAGUGGGGAAUCUUAGACAAUGGGGGCAACCCUGAUCUAGCCAUGCCGCGUGAGUGAUGAAGGCCUUAGGGUUGUAAAGCUCUUUCAGCUGGGAAGAUAAUGACGGUACCAGCAGAAGAAGCCCCGGCUAACUCCGUG